RNAcentral lists this ribosomal RNA (122 nucleotides) under Athalia rosae (coleseed sawfly). Lineage: Eukaryota; Metazoa; Arthropoda; Insecta; Hymenoptera; Athaliidae. The record is from RNAcentral.
GGCAACGGCCAUACCAUGUUGAAUACACCGGUUCUCGUCCGAUCACCGAAGUUAAGCAGCAUUGGGCGCGGUUAGUACUUGGAUGGGUGACCGCUUGGGAACACCGCGUGCCGUUGGCACAU